UCCCUGGUGGCUCAGAUGGUAGAGCAUCUGUCUGAAAUGCAGGAGACCUGAGUUUGAUCCCUGGGUAAGGAA
This 72-nucleotide transfer RNA is filed under the name Bos taurus (domestic cattle). It matches the Rfam family "tRNA". From Rfam's summary of the family: Transfer RNA (tRNA) molecules are approximately 80 nucleotides in length. Their secondary structure includes four short double-helical elements and three loops (D, anti-codon, and T loops). The record is from Rfam by way of RNAcentral. Lineage: Eukaryota; Metazoa; Chordata; Mammalia; Artiodactyla; Bovidae. RNAcentral also lists the same sequence under 2 other names.